Molecule: ribosomal RNA, 207 nt
Filed under: uncultured bacterium
Lineage: Bacteria
Description: partial 16S ribosomal RNA
Rfam family: Bacterial small subunit ribosomal RNA
Source: RNAcentral
CGCGUAGGCGGAAUGUCAAGUUAGGGGUGAAAGGCCUGGGCUCAACCUAGGAACUGCCUCUAAAACUGAUGUUCUAGAGUCCGGGAGAGGAUGGCGGAAUUCCCAGUGUAGAGGUGAAAUUCGUAGAUAUUGGGAAGAACACCAGUGGCGAAGGCGGCCAUCUGGUCCGGCACUGACGCUGAGGCGCGAAAGCGUGGGGAGCAAACA